RNAcentral lists this ribosomal RNA (490 nucleotides) under uncultured bacterium. RNAcentral describes it as "partial 16S ribosomal RNA". It matches the Rfam family "Bacterial small subunit ribosomal RNA", at positions 28 to 507 of the family's 1533-position model. The record is from RNAcentral.
GAUGAACGCUAGCGGCAGGCCUAAUACAUGCAAGUCGAACGGGAUCCAGAUCAAAGCUUGCUUUGGUUUGGUGAGAGUGGCGCACGGGUGCGUAACGCGUGAGCAACCUACCCUUGUCAGGGGGAUAGCCCGGCGAAAGUCGGAUUAAUACCGCAUGACAUCAUUGAGAGGCAUCUUUCGAUGAUCAAAGAUUUAUCGGACAAGGAUGGGCUCGCGUGACAUUAGCUAGUUGGUAAGGUAACGGCUUACCAAGGCUACGAUGUCUAGGGGCUCUGAGAGGAGAAUCCCCCACACUGGUACUGAGACACGGACCAGACUCCUACGGGAGGCAGCAGUAAGGAAUAUUGGUCAAUGGACGGAAGUCUGAACCAGCCAUGCCGCGUGCAGGAAGACGGCCCUAUGGGUUGUAAACUGCUUUUAUACGGGAACAAACGUCGGUACGUGUACCGGUCUGAGUGUACCGUAAGAAUAAGGAUCGGCUAACUCCAUG